Molecule: ribosomal RNA, 786 nt
Filed under: Acanthamoeba sp.
Lineage: Eukaryota; Discosea; Longamoebia; Acanthamoebidae
Description: SSU rRNA
Rfam family: Eukaryotic small subunit ribosomal RNA
Source: RNAcentral
UGUUGCAGUUAAAAAGCUCGUAGUUGGAUCUAGGGACGCGCAUUUCAAGCGCCCGUGUCGUCGGGUCAAACCGGCGACUGCGUUGGCGUUGCGGGCUCGGUCCGUCGGUGGACCCUCGUGGUCUUAAUCGGCGUGUCAACCGGCCCGCCCGUCCCCUCCUUCUGGAUUCCCGUUCCUGCUAUUGAGUUAGUGGGGACGUCACAGGGGGCUCAUCGUCGUCAUGCAAAUGGCGGCGGUGGGUCCCUGGGGCCCAGAUCGUUUACCGUGAAAAAAUUAGAGUGUUCAAAGCAGGCAGAUCCAAUUUUCUGCCACCGAAUACAUUAGCAUGGGAUAAUGGAAUAGGACCCUGUCCUCCUAUUUUCAGUUGGUUUUGGCAGCGCGAGGACUAGGGUAAUGAUUAAUAGGGAUAGUUGGGGGCAUUAAUAUUUAAUUGUCAGAGGUGAAAUUCUUGGAUUUAUGAAAGAUUAACUUCUGCGAAAGCAUCUGCCAAGGAUGUUUUCAUUAAUCAAGAACGAAAGUUAGGGGAUCGAAGACGAUCAGAUACCGUCGUAGUCUUAACCAUAAACGAUGCCGACCAGCGAUUAGGAGACGUUGAAUACAAAACACCACCAUCGGCGCGGUCGUCCUUGGCGUCUCUGUCCCUUUCAACGGGGGCAGGCGCGAGGGCGGUUUAGCCCGGUGGCACCGGUGAAUGACUCCCCUAGCAGCUUGUGAGAAAUCAUAAGUCUUUGGGUUCCGGGGGGAGUAUGGUCGCAAGGCUGAAACUUAAAGGAAUUGACGGAAGGG